Molecule: ribosomal RNA, 388 nt
Filed under: uncultured bacterium
Lineage: Bacteria
Description: bacterial SSU rRNA
Rfam family: Bacterial small subunit ribosomal RNA
Source: RNAcentral
AUUGAACGCUGGCGGCAUGCUUUACACAUGCAAGUCGAACGGCAGCACGGGGGCAACCCUGGUGGCGAGUGGCGAACGGGUGAGUAAUGCAUCGGAACAUACCCAGUCGUGGGGGAUAACGUAGCGAAAGUUACGCUAAUACCGCAUACGUCCUGAGGGAGAAAGCGGGGGAUCGCAAGACCUCGCGCGAUUGGAGUGGCCGAUGUCAGAUUAGCUAGUUGGUGGGGUAAAGGCCCACCAAGGCGACGAUCUGUAGCGGGUCUGAGAGGAUGAUCCGCCACACUGGGACUGAGACACGGCCCAGACUCCUACGGGAGGCAGCAGUGGGAAUUUUGGACAAUGGGGAAACCCUGAUCCAGCCAUGCCGCGUGCGGGAAGAAGGCCUCGG